UGUAAGCUUUGUAUGCUUUGUAAAAUUUGU
Molecule: non-coding RNA, 30 nt
Filed under: Mus musculus (house mouse)
Lineage: Eukaryota; Metazoa; Chordata; Mammalia; Rodentia; Muridae
Source: RNAcentral